UUCUGUGAAGGAAGGGGUGGGGAAUCCCUGCUGAUCUGUUAAAUAGAACCUGCUGAGCUUGAACAACAUUACUACUUUUCCAACACCUAAAGAAGAAUCAACUCAAGCUGUGAAGCUCCGUCUUUGUUUUAGAGAAAAAUGGCUCGUCAGGAAAUGCCUACUUCUAAGCCUGCCACCACCACUGUUGACCUCUGCGCGCUCAUGCUGCGACAAGCCGGAGACGAACUCUACUGGCAACACAAACUGCUGGAACUACUGAUCAAGAACUAUAAAAGCAUGCAUCAGUGUGGAUGAAAAAUCACCGUCAAGAAGAAAAUUCAGAAAAAUGGAAAGCCUUGGAAAAAAAAUGGCAAAAAGGAAAAGCAAAAACAGGUUGGGCUGUGACUCAUUCCUGGGGAAAAAGCAGCGUUUGCUUCCGGCUGGAUGUACAAGGAACGUUGUAAACACACUGAGGGAGAGGCUGCUGUGAUGGAUUCAAAUCAAGACAGGAUCUCUGCGGGAAAGCAAAGGUGAAGAUCUGUUUGUUUGGCGUGACGGAAACACCGCACUGGAAACUCAUCUGGAGAGACUGUUAAAAAAAAAAACAACAUAUACAUAUUUAUAUUUAGUCUCUUUGAAUAUUUAUGCUUGCUAUGUCUAAUCAUGUUACUUCAUUUAUUUAAAGGACAAAAAUGUAACUAUUAAAAUGAACUGUGUGUUUUUAAACAUACCUCUGUGGAUUUAAUAUAAUAAAAAAACAAUCCACUUAUUUAUUUAA
This is a long non-coding RNA of Oryzias melastigma (Indian medaka), 757 nucleotides long. RefSeq lists it as uncharacterized. NCBI's taxonomy places the organism in Eukaryota, Metazoa, Chordata, Actinopteri, Beloniformes, Adrianichthyidae. The record is from RefSeq and is a predicted model, not a curated record. The transcript has 2 exons.